RNAcentral lists this ribosomal RNA (479 nucleotides) under Streptococcus sanguinis. RNAcentral's name for it is "bacterial SSU rRNA". It matches the Rfam family "Bacterial small subunit ribosomal RNA", at positions 28 to 491 of the family's 1533-position model. The record is from RNAcentral. Lineage: Bacteria; Bacillati; Bacillota; Bacilli; Lactobacillales; Streptococcaceae.
GACGAACGCUGGCGGCGUGCCUAAUACAUGCAAGUAGAACGCUGAAGAGAGGAGCUUGCUCUUCUUGGAUGAGUUGCGAACGGGUGAGUAACGCGUAGGUAACCUGCCUGGUAGCGGGGGAUAACUAUUGGAAACGAUAGCUAAUACCGCAUAAAAUUGAUUAUUGCAUGAUAAUUAAUUGAAAGAUGCAAUUGCAUCACUACCAGAUGGACCUGCGUUGUAUUAGCUAGUUGGUGAGGUAACGGCUCACCAAGGCGACGAUACAUAGCCGACCUGAGAGGGUGAUCGGCCACACUGGGACUGAGACACGGCCCAGACUCCUACGGGAGGCAGCAGUAGGGAAUCUUCGGCAAUGGGGGGAACCCUGACCGAGCAACGCCGCGUGAGUGAAGAAGGUUUUCGGAUCGUAAAGCUCUGUUGUAAGAGAAGAACGGGAGUGAGAGUGGAAAGUUCACACUGUGACGUAUCUACCAGAAAGG